GCCUCUCCUUCGCAUAUAUAGUGUACACAGCUCUUAUACCUAUACAUAUAUACAUGUGAGUAUGUGUAUACUCAACUUUGCCAAAUAUAGUUAAUAAACUUAUUAUCGUGAUCAUCGGCGAAUUUGAGAUCUCUCUGACUUGGUAUCUCUUUUGAUUUCUAUUUAACAUUUUUAUAAGUUUUUUUUCUUUCUGAAUUUCAUUCUAUCUUUUUCUUUCUUCUCUAGACUCUAAAAUUUUUUGGGAUAAAGAACUCACAUUUUGUU
Arabidopsis thaliana (thale cress) is the source of this 264-nucleotide long non-coding RNA. RefSeq annotates it as other RNA. The transcript has a single exon. The record is from RefSeq. NCBI's taxonomy places the organism in Eukaryota, Viridiplantae, Streptophyta, Magnoliopsida, Brassicales, Brassicaceae.